GGUGAACUUCAAUCACCAAAGGCUUAUUUCCAUGGUUGUCGGUGAUACCAUUAAUGGGAUUGCCUUGUUACAUGUUCAUGAAAAUAAGCCUUUGGUGAUUGAAGUUCACCAAACAAUAACUCAAUUGUAUUGGUAAUAAAUAUCUCCUUUAUCUAUAAUUAAAUAAGUAUAACGACAUCCUGUAAUAUGGAAAAUUGCCACAUCAAUUUCACAUCUCCCAUACCAAUAUUCUAAAGCAAUGACAAAAUCUUUCAUUCACUUGUAUUACCUCAACUUUAGUCAAACAUAUUGGGAAGUGGUCGAACAGCCAUAAAUGCGUCCACCAUUUCAUCAGUUACAGCUGAUCGUGCCAAACGAUGUCUUUCCACCAAUUCAGUCAAAACCUCAGCAAGGCGCUUCUUCACUUCUCCUGUUAGCAUGCGUCCCGCAGCAUACUCCUUUUUUAUGUGUUCAAGCUCAUCAUCAUCCUCCAAGAAAAAAUUUAAAUAUUUUAUUGGUAUAUCAACCUCAAGAUUUGCUCCAUAUUUUCGGUGUUUCUCUAAAGAAUCUUGCCCACCAGAAAAAGCAUGCUUGUUUAUCUUGUUCUUGAU
RNAcentral lists this unclassified non-coding RNA (590 nucleotides) under Hevea brasiliensis (rubber tree). The record is from RNAcentral. Lineage: Eukaryota; Viridiplantae; Streptophyta; Magnoliopsida; Malpighiales; Euphorbiaceae.